AUUGAACGCUGGCGGCAUGCCUUACACAUGCAAGUCGAACGGUAACGCGGGGCAACCUGGCGACGAGUGGCGAACGGGUGAGUAAUGUAUCGGAACGUGCCCAGUAGUGGGGGAUAGCCCGGCGAAAGCCGGAUUAAUACCGCAUACGACCUACGGGUGAAAGGGGGGGAUCGCAAGACCUCUCGCUAUUGGAGCGGCCGAUAUCAGAUUAGCUAGUUGGUGGGGUAAGGGCCCACCAAGGCAACGAUCUGUAGCUGGUCUGAGAGGACGACCAGCCACACUGGGACUGAGACACGGCCCAGACUCCUACGGGAGGCAGCAGUGGGGAAUUUUUGGGACAAUGGGCGCAAGCCUGAUCCAGCCAUGCCGCGUGCGGGAAGAAGGGCCUUCGGGUUGU
RNAcentral lists this ribosomal RNA (397 nucleotides) under uncultured bacterium. RNAcentral's name for it is "bacterial SSU rRNA". It matches the Rfam family "Bacterial small subunit ribosomal RNA", at positions 29 to 426 of the family's 1533-position model. The record is from RNAcentral.